UCGUGCUCAACUCAACCAGCUGAUGGUGCCAUUGGAUCUGGUAAGGGUAGCACGCAGAGAUCAGGCAGCAAUUUGAGAUGGUUGUUCCAUGGCUGGUUUGGGCUCAAUCAUGAAGAGUUGAAUACCAAUCCUUCCAGUGCGGAUUUAUUUUUCUGCUGAAGAUUACGGCCAUGUUGAUGGAUCAUAUAGAAGGUGACUGAAGGUCAGAGGUCAGUAAGCGAAGCUCUGGGCUCUGGCUCAAUGAAGAUGGAACAUCGAUAUCUCUGGCUCGCUCAAUGUUGAGGGUGCGUAUAUUGUUGAGAGUACCUUCAUCACUGGGAGAUCCUCAACAUUGCAGGUGCAGAUCAUGCCCAAGGCUGACGAUCCCUUCUCCUGGAGGUGGACUGAGUCCGGGAGUGUUACACGACCAGAACGCUGUACAACGCCCUCUUCUCCAGUAUGGUUCAGGCACCCCCACCCCACCCCUCUGGCAGCAAAAGCUACACUGCUAUCUGCGGCCAACAGGUGCUGCUCGCUGGACUGCAGAUUGCUUGGCUCGCUCGACAUGGCCUACAGCACCCUGACCCUGGUGCUUCCUCCUUGUCCGAACAGUCUGACGAGUCUAUUGUUCACCUGCCGUACAUCAUCAUCCAAGGGAUCAAGGUGUGGUUCAAGGUGCUAAUCGUGUUUGGGGUUUAGUCAAUCAUGCUGCAAGCGCGUGUGGGGUCACGCAAGGCAGGCAGGAAGGUCCCUCAGAACUCAGAAUAUGUUGUUUGCAUAUGACAGAAGGAGUCCUUUUCUUGAAUUCAGAGACUGGUCUUCACUGACCCAGGCAUUGUUCUUCAUUCCUACCUUGUCAUUCAAUCCCUCGGAUCCGUCAAUCCAUCUACUCCCUCCGUCCCAUAA
Triticum dicoccoides is the source of this 885-nucleotide long non-coding RNA. RefSeq lists it as uncharacterized. The transcript has 3 exons. The record is from RefSeq and is a predicted model, not a curated record. Lineage: Eukaryota; Viridiplantae; Streptophyta; Magnoliopsida; Poales; Poaceae.